RNAcentral lists this long non-coding RNA (237 nucleotides) under Mytilus galloprovincialis (Mediterranean mussel). Lineage: Eukaryota; Metazoa; Mollusca; Bivalvia; Mytilida; Mytilidae. The record is from RNAcentral.
GUUCUGAGUAGCUGGGCUGACAUCCAAAAAGGGGUACCCCAAGGUUCUAUAUUGGGGCCCCUUUUAUUUAAUAUCUUCAUAAAUGAUAUUUUUUAUUUUGUUAAACAUGGUACAUUAUAUAAUUAUGCGGACGACAAUACUCUGUCUUUUAGUAGUCCGGAUUAUGACCAUCUCAUAUCAACAUUAGAAUCUGAGUCUCAAGUGCUAAUUGAUUGGUUUAAAGAAAAUAAGAUGCAG